CCCUCCCUCACAGGCAAACCCCCAAGCAGAACCAAUCCUGCCGAAAGCAGCUCCGUGCCUACUAUGAGAGGACCUGGCUGCACAUGAAGCCAGCCUGAGAGUCUCCAGGGGCGAAGGGAAGCUGUCCCUGCCUUUCUCGGCUCAGGCGAGCUUCCAGCAGCCUGGACACUGGGACCGAAGAAGGGAGCAGUCAUUCCCAGACUGGGAAACAGAGGCUUGCUGAAGUGAUUGAUCCAGGGUAGAUCUACUGCUGCUCCAAGCACUCGUGGGGAGUCACUAGCCUUGCCCUUGGGCCUGCGGAACCCCAGCCUAGUACCUUUGUCGCUGGCUGGCUGACGGUCAUGGUGUCCACGUCUUUAGGAGUCUGAAAGUGAGUGGUGACAGCUGAGUUAACACAAGAGCUACCACUGACCACAAAUGAAAAUAAGGAUGGGUUCAGCCUUGAGCUACCCUGUGUUGCAUUCAUACCGUGGUAAAGGCCGGGCCUCCAGCCAUCCAGCUGUGCCAUCACACGGAGACACGGACCAGGAUUGGCUUCACCAUCGGAUGGAAAUCACUACCAGUACAGCUUUCUACAGUCUGUUCUUGCUACCUGGAAGGUUCUUCCCACAGAUCCUACCCUACUGAUAGUCGUGUUCCCACCACCCCUUCUUGUGGGGGAUGUUCCAGACCCGUGUGGGUGUUCCUAGCACACAUUAGAGCGUUUAUGGCAGUGACUGUGUGGGUCUGAAUCCUGUGAGUGUUGGUGGGAGACAAGCCUGGGGUAGAUCACUGUGUAGUGAUAGAGCAGGAUGCUAGGAGACUAGGCCCACACUGUGCCAGACAGAGCUGGCUCAUCGUCGGACCUCUUGCUCCCCCUGUCCUGUGAGUCCAUGCUGCUCCUCAGGGUGAACAGUUAUGGCACCUGCUCUGGGCAUGAACUGGCCAGCACUGAGGGGUCCUUUGGCCCCCUUUGCUUCCCCCCUCCCAAGUUCUCCCUCUUUGCCCUCCCUCCUCACCAUCCCAGCCUUUGUGGCAGGAAGUCAGGCACCCAGAGCACUGACAGACUGAGGACUGCUAGGGGCAAGCCGUCCCCAGCCCCAUUCUUUGGGAAGGAACCACAAUCAAAUGGCAUUUUGGUGCAGACAUGUGAAGGGGGAGGCCUUCCUCCCUUUGCCGCUGAAAUCAUCCUAGGCAGGAGGUCAAGGCCCUUCUUACAAGGAGGGCAAGCCAAGAUGGCUAGAAAGUUAUCUGGCUUUUAAAAGUCAAGCCAGGGGAACUGGUGAGAUGGUUCAGUGGUUAAGAGCACUGGCUGCUCUUCCAGAGGACCUGGGUUUGAGUCUUAGCAUCCAUAUGAUGGCUUACAACCAUCUGUAACUAACUCCAGUUCCGGGGAAUGUGAAGCCCUCUUCUGGUUCCCAAGCAUACAUGUGAUUGUACAUACAUACAUGCAAGCAAAACACUCAUACACAUAUGAAACAAAACUAGAAAAAAACAUUUUUAAAGUCAACCCAGACCCAAGAGUGGUAGUAUACACCUUUGAUCCCAGCACUCCAGAGACAGAGUCAAGCAGGCCACUGACAGUUUGAGGCCAGCCUGGUCUACCUAGCGAGUUCUAGGCCAGCCAAAUCUGCAAAGUGAGGCCCUACCUCAAACAAAUAAACAAACAAACACCAAAAAAGUCAGCCCAGGGCCCUGACACGGUUCAGCAGGCAAAGAUGCUUGCAACCAAGCCUGCUGACCUGAGCUCACUCUUCAAGAUCCCAUGGUAGAAGGAGAGAACCAAUUCCUGCAAGUUGUCCUCUGACCCCCACCUACAUGACAUAGCACUUGCAAAUGCACACACAUAACAAUAAACAAGUAAAUAUCAUUUUAAAAUGUUUUAAAGUCAACUCAACACACCAGGCGUGCUGGUCCAUGCCUUAUAGUCCAAGCUCCUAGGAAGGCUGAGUCAGGAGAACCACUUGAUUCCAGGAGUGGCUGACAUAGGAUGGAUGUCAGGUUUUGGGGAGGGCAAUUUGCUUUGAGUACCUGUGCAUUUUGAGAAGCCGGGGGUUUGGUGAGCACCUGUCCUUGAGAAACUCCUUCAGCUGGAAGUGUAACUGCCGGGUUACUUGCAGAAGCUAAACUGUGCAGAUGAGUUAGAUGUGUACUGACCGCAGACUGGACAGCCUUGGGAGUGCAGCACAGUGGUAGAACCCUUGCCCAGGGUGCACAGAGGCCUGAGUUCCAUCCCCAGCAUUGCAAGGAAGAAUAAAUAAAGUCAGGGUAUGGACAGAGGAAUGAGGGACCAGCUCAUGUUACGGAGUUGUGUGCACAGACUCUGUACAGUGGCAGGCACCUAUAGUCCUAGCUAUUUGGGAGGCUGAGGCAGGAGGAUUACUUGAGCCUAGGAACUGGAGACCAACCUGAGCAACACAGGAGGCACCCUGCCUCAAAGGAAAAGAAAGGCAGGAGGAAGAGGAAGAGGAAGAAGACUAGGAGGAAGAAGAGGAGGGAGAGGAAGAGGACUCCCCAGCUACUAAAAAGGAAGUGGUUGUAUAUGCAAUGACCCACACACAAAAAAAAUGUCCACGAGGUGCCCAGUGAAAAAUAAGGUAUCUAACAUCUAACAUGGAUGUUAGUGUUUCUGUGAGAAGCACGCCUAAACAGACAAGUUCACAUAAUACCAGGACCUGGACCCAGGCAAGGACAGCACAGGUGUAGUGUGAAUGGCUGUAUGCCCACCACAGGAAAAUGUUUAUGUUUCUCAUCAACUAACAACAGUUUGAGGGGACAGAGUUCAGGAAAUAUGGGGAAGUUGAUUGGUCUUUACUGACUGUAUUUUAUUAAUG
Long non-coding RNA from Peromyscus californicus insignis, 2813 nucleotides. RefSeq lists it as uncharacterized. NCBI's taxonomy places the organism in Eukaryota, Metazoa, Chordata, Mammalia, Rodentia, Cricetidae. The record is from RefSeq and is a predicted model, not a curated record. The transcript is spliced from 4 exons.